UAGUAAGUGUUUUACGGCACUUUUUAAAUCCAUAUCCACCUUGUGUGCAAUGUCAGUCGAUCUUCUUCAUGGAGAUCGACCAAACAUCAACCUUUAUCUUUUAACUCUUUGUCUGAAAAAUAUUAUGAAUAAACAAUUCAAAAUA
This 145-nucleotide unclassified non-coding RNA is filed under the name soil metagenome. RNAcentral describes it as "partial internal transcribed spacer 1". The record is from RNAcentral.